Molecule: ribosomal RNA, 143 nt
Filed under: Salmonella enterica subsp. enterica serovar Bovismorbificans
Lineage: Bacteria; Pseudomonadati; Pseudomonadota; Gammaproteobacteria; Enterobacterales; Enterobacteriaceae
Description: partial 23S ribosomal RNA
Rfam family: Bacterial large subunit ribosomal RNA
Source: RNAcentral
CGGGAUGAGUUCUCCCUGAGACUUAGAGUCUCCUGAAGGAACGUUGAAGACGACGACGUUGAUAGGCCGGGUGUGUAAGCGCAGCGAUGCGUUGAGCUAACCGGUACUAAUGAACCGUGAGGCUUAACCUUACAACGCCGAAG